AUUAGCCAGUAGUGGUCUGCAAUGUGGUGGGUCUGUUUUAUAACUUCUGUUAGUUGGGUCUCUCGGCACCUUCACAGCUUCACCUCUCAUAUUUGUUGGAAACCGCAAAAGAAGAAGCUUAAACACAAUUUCUCAAUCAACCAUCUCUUUCAACAAUUCGUAUACGGCAGUUCUCAUCUCUCUCUCUUGUUUUUUUUUUUCUCUUUGGAACAUUUGGGAUCUCAUCUUUUACUUCAAUCUAGGGUUUCAUAAUUUAUUCUCCUCUAAUAAUCUUUUCAAUCUCGAACUUUUUAUUUCCCAAAAUUUUCUUCUUCAUCUCUAUCACCAGCUCUAUUGUUCCCGAAAUUAGACUCACGGUUAAUUAAGAACCUGAAAAGGAUCUUUGUGAUGGCAUCGGUACAAGUAAUUGCUUCAGGAAUUGGCACUAGAAGCUUAUUGCCUUCAUUUGAUGGACUUAGUGGAUCCAGUGAGAUUGACAGGUUCCAGGACUUAAGGAACGAACUAAAGGUUCGCCGCUAUCAGCAACGGAGGCACAUUGAUACAAGCGGGGUCUUUAGACCCAACUUGUUUUUAAGUUUUAGUGUUAAUAUAUCCAUUUUGGGGGGAAGUUAGGUAGUCAGGGAUUAAAAAUAUUGCUUCUGUCGAUUUUGACCCCAGGAGUAACAGAAUUUCCCUCCGUCACUGCAGCCGUGAUGGAAUAUGGAAGGUUUGACUUAUCAAAAUUAAAAUUAGAAUUCUCACAAACAAAAAUAACAAACCAUUUGUUAUGUUAAAAGUCUGUAGUUUACUGCAUAAUAUCUCGGUGUGUUUGUGUAUUAAGGAUUCGGUUUACUCAGACGUAGACACUGAUUUUGUUGUGUUCCUUAUGUAUUGCUUUUAACAAAGAAAAUGUGGUAAUACAUGACCCAAAAGUGUUCUCUUCUUGCAUAUGAGUUGAAACAGAACUUCUUUAUGCGUUUGCAGAUGCGUACAGGAUAAACAGUUGAUGAAUGUGCAAUUUGUUGGUGUAUCUAGUUAUCUCUUUCCUUUUUAUUGAUC
Molecule: long non-coding RNA, 1038 nt
Organism: Papaver somniferum (opium poppy)
Lineage: Eukaryota; Viridiplantae; Streptophyta; Magnoliopsida; Ranunculales; Papaveraceae
Exons: 3
Source: RefSeq, a predicted model, not a curated record